Long non-coding RNA from Gossypium arboreum, 577 nucleotides. RefSeq lists it as uncharacterized. The record is from RefSeq and is a predicted model, not a curated record. Lineage: Eukaryota; Viridiplantae; Streptophyta; Magnoliopsida; Malvales; Malvaceae. The transcript is spliced from 2 exons.
ACCUUAUUUUUGAUAUAAUAGCUCGAGCAGUAGUUCUUUUUGUGCGGUUUUCCUUCGUCGAUUAAAAGCGGUGGUUUGCUUCUCCGAGUGUCAAAGGACUUUGAGAAGAGAUUUUGGACUGAAAGAAGUUCAACCAUGGCUGAUUUCAAGCAUAUCAUUUGGUAAUUACCUUCUUCGUCUCGCUUUUGGAUGUAUGGAUGAAAGAUGAAAGCUUUUAUAAUUUGUCGAUUUUACUUGUUAAAUAUUCGUCCAGUUGCAGCUGGACAAGAAACUACUAGAAAAAAAAUGGAGAUGGAGAACAGAAUAUUGUUUAUGCAGUUCGGAAAUUUCCUACAUCUACGGGCCUGCCUUGCUCAUGUACUAAUCCACUAUAACAACACCUAAAAGUUGUGAUGUCGCACUCCUAUACUUCUAACUAAAUAACUCCACCUCUAAGUAUUUUCCUCUUUGAUGAACACAAUUUAGUUUACAUACAAUUUUGCACUAAAAAUGUAGUUUCCUGAUUUAACAAAUAAAAUGCUCUCUAAUUUGUACACUUAAGCUACACUAACCGUUCACUAUAUAUAUAAAAAAGGGG